UCCCUAUGGGGUGCAGCAGUCGCGAAACCUUUGCAAUACACGAAAGUGUGACAAGGCUAUCCCGAGUGCCAUCCGCUGAGGAAGGCUUUUACCCAGUAUAAAUAGCUGGGAGAAUAAGGAGAGGGCAAGUCUGGUGUCAGCCGCCGCGGUAAUACCAGCUCUCCGAGUAGUGAGGAUGUUUAUUGGGCCUAAAGCAUCCGUAGCUUGCUAAGCAAGUCCCCUGUUAAACCCACUGAUUCAAUCAGUGGAUUGCGGGGGAUACUGUUUGGCUAGGGGACGGGAGAGGCCGACGGUAUUUCCGGGGUAGGGGUGAAAUCCUAUAAUCCCGGGAGGACCACCAGUGGCGAAGGCUGUCGGCUAGAACGCGCCCGACGGUGAGGGAUGAAAGCUGGGGGAGCGAACCGGAUUAGAUACCCGGGUAGUCCCAGCUGUAAACGAUGCAGGCUAGGUGUUUGGGCGGCCACGAGCCGCCCUAGUGCCGCAGGGAAGCUGUUAAGCCUGCCGCCUGGGGAGUACGGCCGCAAGGCUGAAACUUAAAGGAAUUGGCGGGGGAGCACCACAAGGGGUGAAGCUUGCGGUUUAAUUGGAUUCAACGCCGGAA
This 601-nucleotide ribosomal RNA is filed under the name uncultured archaeon. RNAcentral describes it as "bacterial SSU rRNA". It matches the Rfam family "Archaeal small subunit ribosomal RNA", at positions 319 to 923 of the family's 1478-position model. The record is from RNAcentral.